GGGCUGGUCGCAUAGUGGCCUAGUGCGAGCGAUUGCUAAUCGCUUGAGGGUUAAUAGCCUUCCGAGAGUUCGAAUCUCUCCCUCUCCGCCC
RNAcentral lists this transfer RNA (91 nucleotides) under Chloroflexota bacterium. RNAcentral describes it as "Chloroflexi bacterium tRNA-Ser". It matches the Rfam family "tRNA". From Rfam's summary of the family: Transfer RNA (tRNA) molecules are approximately 80 nucleotides in length. The record is from RNAcentral. Lineage: Bacteria; Bacillati; Chloroflexota.